Molecule: non-coding RNA, 29 nt
Filed under: Mus musculus (house mouse)
Lineage: Eukaryota; Metazoa; Chordata; Mammalia; Rodentia; Muridae
Source: RNAcentral
UGUGGCCAUUGGACAUUUUGGUGACAUUU